GGUCGCAUGGCUCAGUUGGUAGAGCACCGUGUUCACAUCGCGGGGGUCACAGGUUCGAGCCCUGUUGCGACCACCA
This 76-nucleotide transfer RNA is filed under the name Clostridiales bacterium. RNAcentral describes it as "tRNA-Val". It matches the Rfam family "tRNA". From Rfam's summary of the family: Transfer RNA (tRNA) molecules are approximately 80 nucleotides in length. Their secondary structure includes four short double-helical elements and three loops (D, anti-codon, and T loops). Further hydrogen bonds mediate the characteristic L-shaped molecular structure. tRNAs have two regions of fundamental functional importance: the anti-codon, which is responsible for specific mRNA codon recognition, and the 3' end, to which the tRNAs corresponding amino acid is attached (by aminoacyl-tRNA synthetases). tRNAs cope with the degeneracy of the genetic code in two manners: having more than one tRNA (with a specific anti-codon) for a particular amino acid; and 'wobble' base-pairing, i.e. permitting non-standard base-pairing at the 3rd anti-codon position. Lineage: Bacteria; Bacillati; Bacillota; Clostridia; Eubacteriales. The record is from RNAcentral. RNAcentral also lists the same sequence under 4 other names.